Molecule: ribosomal RNA, 2749 nt
Filed under: Scherffelia dubia
Lineage: Eukaryota; Viridiplantae; Chlorophyta; Chlorodendrophyceae; Chlorodendrales; Chlorodendraceae
Description: large subunit ribosomal RNA
Rfam family: Bacterial large subunit ribosomal RNA
Source: RNAcentral
AAAUUAAAGACAUUGGACGGAGGCCUAGGCAGAAAAAAAAGAACGUUUUCACAACGAAAUGUCAUAGGGAGAGGAAUCUGCGAUCUAUGAAUCUUCUUAGGGAAAGCAUUAAAAUUUCAAAACUUAGCGAACUGAAACAUCUAAGUAGCUAUGUAUAAAAAUCAACCGAGAGUCCGUUAGUAGUGGUGAGCGAAAGCGGAUCAGGCCACUGCAUGAAAAUGAAGCUCCGCUAGCACUCAAGUCGCUAACGCGCCUCAAGUAAAAGGAUGGAAAUCCUUGCCAAAGAAGGUAAUAGCCCUGUUUGUGCCCUUCGGGGCGGAGCAAUGCAUCAAGUUAUUCAAAAAAGAAAAAAAGGUUAAACUUAAGGGGGACCACCCUCUAAGCCUAUGAAAUUUUUUCUGACCGAUAGUGAACAAGUACCGUGAGGGAAAGGUAUGAAAAGAAACCCUGAAGAAGGGGGUGAAAAAGAAUCUACAAAUUCGAUGUCUACAAUCAGUCGUGAUAAAAACGGCGUACCUUUUGCAUAAUGGGUCAGCGAGUAAAAGAUGUUAGCAAGCCUAAGCCCGUAGGUGGAAGCUUAGUUAAUACAAAAAGUUUCAAUGGCUCGAAGCAACGAUUUUGAUGCUUCAUCGUUUCGUUGCUUCGAGCAUCAAAAGCGUUAGAAAUUUUCAAGUUAAAAUCUUUUGACCCGAAACCGAGUGAUCUAGCUAUGAGCAAGUUGAAGAAGUGGUAAUACAUUUUGGAGGACUGAACCUGUGUCUGUGGCAAAAGACUAGGAUGACUUGUUGCUAGGGGUGAAAAGCCAAUCGAACUCGGAAAUAGCUGGUUUUCUGCGAAAUUUAUUGAGGUAAAGCGUUUAAAAAUCCAAAAGAGGUAGAGCACUCGCUGCUUCACCUAAGUGAAGCAUGGAAACUCCGAAGCCUUUUGGUUUAUUUGAAAAUAGACAGACUUAGGAUGCUAAGGUCCUAAGUCAAAAGGGAAACAGCCCAGAUUAUAUGCUAAGGUCCCAAAGCGAUUGCUGCGUGGAAAAGGAAGUCUUUAAGCAAAAACAACCAGGAGGUGGGCUUGGAAGCAGCCAUCCUUUGAAGAAAGCGUAACAGCUCACUGGUCUAGCUUAAAUGCGCCUAAAAUGUCACGGGGCUAAAGCAAUCCACCGAAGCAAUAAUUGUCAACGGCGAAGACCCAGGUAAUCGUGAUGGGUCUAGCUGCGCAAGGUAGCAGAACGUUCUGUAAGUUUAAGAAAGCAAAUCGAUAGAUUAGAGCCCAAAAUAUCAGAAGUGAGAAUGCUGACAUAAGUAACGAUAAAUCAUGUGAUAUCCAUGAUCGCCGAAAGUUCAAGGGUUUCCGCGAUCCGUUAAUCGGCGCGGAGUUAAUCGGCCCCUAAAAAGACUUGGCCAUCGCCAAGCUUUGAUGGGAAAUCUUUAUGUUUGUGAUUUUGAAUUUUUGUUCUUUUUUCAGGGAUUAUUGGAUUUCACUAAAAUGAACUAAAUUCCAGGAAAAACUCACAAUGAUUCACCGUACCUCAAACCGACUCUGGUGAACAGCUGCUAAAGCAGUAAGGCGAUUGAGAAAACUAUGUUGAAGGAACUCGGCAAAUUCACCCUGUAACUUCGGAAGAAAGGGGACCUUAUUAACUAAGGUGGCACGAAAUAGGGGGCGGCGACUGUUUAUUAAAAACACAGGACUCUGCAAAAUGAAAACACGAUGUAUAGGGUCCGACACCUGCCCGGUGCUGUAAUGAUAAGGAUAGGCAGAAAAUUCUGACUUCCCAAUAACCAGUAAACGGCAGCCGUAACUCUAACGGUUGCGAAAUUCCUUGGCACUUAAUUGGUGUCCUGCACGAAUGGUGUAACGAUCGCCCCACUGUCUCCAACAUAGACUCAGUGAAAUUGAAAUCUCUGUGCAGAUGCGGAGUUCUAGCAGCUAGACGGUAAGACCCUGUGCACCUUUACUAUAGCUUUGCAUUGGAAAAAGGUAUCAAAUGUUUAGGAUAGGUGGGAGACUUUCGGGUCAACCUUGAAAUACCACCCUUUUCAUACAAUUUUCCUCACAAUAGCAAUCACUUGACAAAUCUCUCCGAGAGCCGAAAGUGAUCUUGGACCAUGCAUGGUGGGUAGUUUUUCUGGGGCGGAAGCCUCCUAAAAAGUAACGGAGGCGUGCAAAGGUAAGCUCACGCUGGUCGGAAAUCAGCUUUUGAGCGUAAUGGUAAAAGCUUGCCUGACUGCAAGACCCACAAGUCGAGCAGGGACGAAAGUCGGUCAUAGUGACCCGGGAGUUCUGUGUGGAAAGACUCUCGCUUAACGGAUCAUAGGUACGCCAGGGAUAACAGGCUGAUAACCCUCAAGAGUUCUUAUCGACGGGGUUGUUUGGCACCUCGAUGUCAGCUCAUCACAUCCUCGGGGUGAAGAAGCUCCGAAGGGUCGGACUGUUCGUCCGUUAAAGUGGUACGUGAGCCGGGUUUAAUACGUUGUAAAACAGUAUGGUUCCUAUCUACUGCUAGUGUUAUAAACUGAGGGGACCAGUUCGCCGUACGAGAGGAACCGAACUGAUUAACCUCUGGUGUCUAAGUUGUCGUGCCAACGGCAUCGCUUAGUAGCUACGUUGAUUUAUUUUAACCGCUGAAAGCAUCUUAAGCGGGAAAUAUUUCCCAAAACAAGUUUCCGAUUGCGUGGAAGAAGACCACGAGAUAGGCGAAAUGUGAAAUCAUGGAGACAUGUUGUUGGCCCAAGGCCAUAGCUUAUUCGUACUA